UUCGGGAAGUUCCGAGACAGGUGCUGCAUGGCUGUCGUCUAGCUCGUGCCGUGAGGUGUUGGGUUAAGUCCCGCAACGAGCGCAACCCUAUUGCCAGUUGCUACCAGGUAAUGCUGGGCACUCUGGUGAGACUGCCCCGGUUAACGGGGAGGGAAGGUGGGGACGACGUCAAGUCAUCAUGGCCCUUACGCCUAGGGCUACACACGUACUACAAUGGCGCAUACAAAGGGCAGCGAUACCGCGAGGUGGAGCCAAUCCCAAAAAGUGCGUCCCAGUCCGGAUUGCAGUCUGCAACUCGACUGCAUGAAGUUGGAAUCGCUAGUAAUUCGAGAUCAGCAUGCUCGGGUGAAUGCGUUCCCGGGCCUU
This 366-nucleotide ribosomal RNA is filed under the name uncultured Desulfovibrio sp. RNAcentral describes it as "bacterial SSU rRNA". It matches the Rfam family "Bacterial small subunit ribosomal RNA", at positions 1016 to 1382 of the family's 1533-position model. Lineage: Bacteria; Pseudomonadati; Thermodesulfobacteriota; Desulfovibrionia; Desulfovibrionales; Desulfovibrionaceae. The record is from RNAcentral.